AUGCACGCUGGCGGCGUGCCUAAUACAUGCCAGUCGAGCGAACAGACGAGGAGCUUGCUCCUCUGAUGUUAGCGGCGGACGGGUGAGUAACACGUGGAUAACCUACCUAUAAGACUGGGAUAACUUCGGGAAACCGGAGCUAAUACCGGAUAACAUGUUGAACCGCAUGGUUCAACAGUGAAAGACGGUCUUGCUGUCACUUAUAGAUGGAUCCGCGCCGCAUUAGCUAGUUGGUAAGGUAACGGCUUACCAAGGCAACGAUGCGUAGCCGACCUGAGAGGGUGAUCGGCCACACUGGAACUGAGACACGGUCCAGACUCCUACGGGAGGCAGCAGUAGGGAAUCUUCCGCAAUGGGCGAAAGCCUGACGGAGCAACGCCGCGUGAGUGAAGAAGGUCUUCGGAUCGUAAAACUCUGUUAUUAGGGAAGAACAAAUGUGUAAGUAACUAUGCACGUCUUGACGGUACCUAAUCAGAAAGCCACGGCUAACUACGUG
RNAcentral lists this ribosomal RNA (496 nucleotides) under uncultured bacterium. RNAcentral's name for it is "partial 16S ribosomal RNA". It matches the Rfam family "Bacterial small subunit ribosomal RNA", at positions 29 to 507 of the family's 1533-position model. The record is from RNAcentral.